UGGGUUGAGAUUUGGGCUUGGGCCGGUGUUGGGUUUGUAUUUCAGGUUAAUUUGGGGCUUAAUGGGUUUGUUGUAUUUUGGGUUUGGGUAAAUUAAUCGGAUCUGCUAUUGUAACAAAACUGGACAUUUAUUUAUUUUUUAUUUUAUUUUAUUAUUUUAUGCAUGUGGGUCGGGCAUUAAUUGGGUAUUACAGCUGCCCCUCUUUACUCGUUGUCGUGUAACCAGAACGGAGCAAAGACUCUAAAAAUGACCAAUUUUGCCCGGUCGUGCUUGGACUUUGGUGCUCCUGUUCUUCAAGUAGCUUCAUUCCACCUUACUGCUUCUUCAGAGGUAUAGGAGUUGCUUUGAUCCACUCCUCUGC
This 361-nucleotide long non-coding RNA is filed under the name Gossypium raimondii (Peruvian cotton). RNAcentral describes it as "long non-coding RNA (GRAI_LNC010754)". Lineage: Eukaryota; Viridiplantae; Streptophyta; Magnoliopsida; Malvales; Malvaceae. The record is from RNAcentral.